This 1122-nucleotide ribosomal RNA is filed under the name Triticum aestivum (bread wheat). RNAcentral describes it as "partial small subunit ribosomal RNA". Lineage: Eukaryota; Viridiplantae; Streptophyta; Magnoliopsida; Poales; Poaceae. The record is from RNAcentral.
AUGGCUGCUGCAUCUUCUCGUGCCAAGCUCCUCCUGACCUUGGUCUUGCUGCAGGCUCUGUGGGACUCGGCCGCGCCGGCCUGCUCCAUCGACGCCAUCUACAGCUUCGGGGACUCCAUCGCCGACACCGGCAACCUCCUCCGCGAGGGCCCCGUGGGCUUCUUCUCCUCCAUCGGCAGCUACCCCUACGGCCAGACCUACCGGAAGCCCACCGGCCGCUGCUCCGACGGCCUCCUCAUCAUCGACUACUUCGCCAUGGCGCUCGACCUGCCGCUGGUCAACCCGUACCUGGACAAGAGCGCCGACUUCAGCGGCGGCGUCAACUUCGCGGUGGCCGGCGCGACGGCGCUGGACCGCACGUACCUCCUGCAGAACGCCAUCGUGAUGCCGCCGGGGAACACGCCGCUCAGCUCCCAGCUCGACUGGUUCAAAUCGCACCUCAACGACACGUGCCAGCAAGAUUGCGCGAAGAAGCUGGCCGGAGCCUUGUUCUUGGUCGGGGAGAUCGGCGGGAACGACUACAACUACGCCUUCUUUCAGAAGAGGUCCAUCGAGGCCGUCAAGGCGUACGUGCCACUGGUCGUGAAGAGCAUCAUGGACGUCGCAAAGGAGGUGAUCGAGCUGGGAGCGACCCAGAUCAUCAUCCCGGGGAACUUCCCGAUAGGGUGCUCGCCGAGCUACCUCUCCCUCUUCUCCGCCGCCGGCUCCACGGACCACGACGAACGGGGCUGCCUCAAGAGCUACAACGCCUUCGCCGCGUACCACAACGAGCAGCUCCAGGCGGCCAUCGUCGACCUCCGCAAGGUCAACGCCGACGUCUCCGUUGUCUACGCCGACUACUACGGCGCCUUCCUGCACCUCCUCGACCACGCCUCCGUCCUAGGGUUCGACGAGGGGUCGCUGCUGAAGGCCUGCUGCGGCGCCGGCGGGGAGCACAACUUCGACAUGGACAUGAUGUGCGGCGGGCUCGGGGCGAGCACGUGCGCCGACCCGGCACGCCACGUGAGCUGGGACGGCAUCCACCUCACACAGCAGGCCUACAGGGCCAUGGCGCUGUCGAUCCUCAUGGAAGGGUUUGCCCAGCCUGCCGAAAGCGUGCAGGAUAUAUGGAGCUGCUGGUGA